Molecule: non-coding RNA, 727 nt
Organism: Oryctolagus cuniculus (rabbit)
Lineage: Eukaryota; Metazoa; Chordata; Mammalia; Lagomorpha; Leporidae
Source: RefSeq, a predicted model, not a curated record
CGCAUCUGAAACCUGCCGGCAGUGCUGGGGCUGGGGCUGGGUGCCGGCCAGCUGACUUUGACAGUCUCUCUGACCUUUUCUACCACACAGGAAAUCUCAAGGGGCCUCUGGGGCCCAACGGGGGCUGUUCUCAAGGUGCAGCUGAGAACACAGGGAAGGGGCCCUUUCUACAAUGAGGUAGGUGCUAGGAAACUGGAAUUACUACAUUGUUCACUGCUGGAGAUGAUGGCUGUAUCCACAGUGUGGAAGCUUUACCCAAGAACACAGAGCAGGAUCUUCUCUCUGCUUCCUCAGCUGAACAUAGGAUAACUAGGCUGGACUUAAGAUCAAAGCCCACAUCUCCAUUGGAAACAGGCAGUGAUAAAGGCUUAACCUUUGGGAUGCUCUUCGUCCUCUGUGAAAGCCCAAGUUCCUGUGUUCUGCAGUAGAAGACCCACCUUCCCCUGAAAUUCACGCUGAAAUGGUCAACUCCAAGGCGUUGGCGCUGGGGCCCUGGGAGGGGAUUAGGCCAAGAAGCUGUGGCUGUUGAGUGCCAUUGGUUCCCUUACUCCUUCAGAGGCCUGACGGAGCUCAGAAUAUGCGCCCCCACCAGGCUUCACAUCUGCAGGUGCCUUGACCUUGCAUUUCCAGCGCUCAGAGCUAUGAGAAAUAAAUUUCUGUUGAUAAGCUGACCCGUUCAUGGUAUUUUGUUAUAGUGGCACAGAUAGACUACGACAUCCUAGGGAUU